GAUAUCACAUUGAAACACCAGUUCCUGUAUGAUCACCAGUUAAGCAAUCUUGAGCCUGGUCAGUACCUGGACAGGUGACUGCUUGAGAAUACCAGAUGCUGUAAG
Molecule: non-coding RNA, 105 nt
Organism: Acanthosepion pharaonis
Lineage: Eukaryota; Metazoa; Mollusca; Cephalopoda; Sepiida; Sepiidae
Source: the annotation of a GenBank genome assembly